Molecule: ribosomal RNA, 505 nt
Filed under: uncultured bacterium
Lineage: Bacteria
Description: partial 16S ribosomal RNA
Rfam family: Bacterial small subunit ribosomal RNA
Source: RNAcentral
AGUGAACGCUGGCGGUAGGCCUAACACAUGCAAGUCGAACGGCAGCACAGAGGAGCUUGCUCCUUGGGUGGCGAGUGGCGGACGGGUGAGGAAUACAUCGGAAUCUACUCUGUCGUGGGGGAUAACGUAGGGAAACUUACGCUAAUACCGCAUACGACCUACGGGUGACAGCAGGGGACCUUCGGGCCUUGCGCGAUUGAAUGAGGCGAUGUCGGUUAGCUAGUUGGCGGGGUAAAGGCCCACCAAGGCGACGAUCCGUAGCUGGUCUGAGAGGAUGAUCAGCCACACUGGAACUGAGACACGGUCCAGACUCCUACGGGAGGCAGCAGUGGGGAAUAUUGGACAAUGGGCGCAAGCCUGAUCCAGCCAUACCGCGUGGGUGAAGAAGGCCUUCGGGUUGUAAAGCCCUUUUGUUGGGAAAGAAAUCCAGCUGGUUAAUACCCGGUUGGGAUGACGGUACCCAAAGAAUAAGCACCGGCUAACUUCGUGCCAGCAGCCGCCGUAA